RNAcentral lists this small nucleolar RNA (135 nucleotides) under Carlito syrichta (Philippine tarsier). Its description in RNAcentral is "Small nucleolar RNA SNORA75 (ENSTSYG00000026471.1)". It matches the Rfam family "Small nucleolar RNA SNORA75". From Rfam's summary of the family: U23 belongs to the H/ACA class of snoRNAs. snoRNAs bind a number of proteins (including dyskerin, Gar1p and Nop10p in the case of the H/ACA class) to form snoRNP complexes. This class are thought to guide the sites of modification of uridines to pseudouridines by forming direct base pairing interactions with substrate RNAs. Targets include ribosomal and spliceosomal RNAs as well as the Trypanosoma spliced leader RNA (SL RNA) as possibly other, still unknown cellular RNAs. Lineage: Eukaryota; Metazoa; Chordata; Mammalia; Primates; Tarsiidae. The record is from Rfam by way of RNAcentral.
GUCUUCUCACUGAGCUCCUUUCUGUCUUUUGGUGGCAGUUAAUGAAUUCACAUGAGAAAAAGAGAAUUUACAGAGCUAUCAUCAUUUUACCUUCUGUCUUUACAGAAGUAUUUGUGGCUGUUUUGUGAGACUUUA